AAAAGUCUAGGAUUAUGAGCUCUGAUAAACAAAAGGCAGCCUUCCUUAACUGAUACUUUUUUUUUUUUUCUUUUCUCCUCAGUGUCUAUUAGCAGGGUUUUAGGCCUAUGAUACAGAGCAGUUCCUGUGGUUUUUGUUGGUGAUUUAUGUCUGCAUACAUAACUGACUGCUUUUGGUCUGGUCUCAAUGUCUCUUAAAAACUGCAAGCUUCCCAGUCUUCACUGUAUGUUCUGUUUAUGUACUGAAGACUUAAAGAAAAGGAGGGCAAGAUCCAUUUGGACAUCUGUACCUGAAAGGACAUCAAAGAGAAGGAGUUUUCAAGUGGUGUUUCCUUGCUAUGGAGAGAGAGAGAGACGGGGGCUUAUUGCCACAGUUAUUACUAGAAGACCAGCUGAGGACACCGAGAGCAAAGAUCUUUGGGUCCGGUCUUGUUUAUACAGCUUCAUGAGGGACAAAAUUCCUAACCUACAUGGAACAAGGUAAUUAAUUCUUCCAGGACUCAAAUAAAUUUACUUUUCCUUCAAAUAAUGUAUUAUUA
Molecule: long non-coding RNA, 538 nt
Filed under: Anser brachyrhynchus (Pink-footed goose)
Lineage: Eukaryota; Metazoa; Chordata; Aves; Anseriformes; Anatidae
Description: lncRNA (ENSABRG00000007905.1)
Source: RNAcentral